AUGGGGAACAGGACUUACUUUUUGGUGAGAGCAAGUUAUUUAUAUAAUAAACUCUCCCAAGGCAGCUUCACCACUAUUUUGCAGGGUGUGGUGAGUGGGUCCUGUAGCAGUGAAAUGGAGGACCCCUUUAUAUGACAUUAGGAACAGUGUCCUGUACUUUGGUUAUAACUUCCACCCAAGGUUCUYACUUUACCCUGGCAGGUUCACCCAUGAAAUACCAGUGCUUUAGCCAUGUAAACUGAACAGAAGAGAAAGAUGUGCUUCACUACCAGGGUAYAAACAGGUUAAGAGCUUCAAGCAGUUCCUUGCUCACCACCAUCAGGUAACUUCCUGAGCUACUGCAACAUGGGAAAAAGCCUUUUGGGGCUGAGACUGGGAGGAGCAGGAAAGGAAUCUAACUUCCCUUUCUGGUGUGGCAGCAAGCUGGACUCGAAUGACGCACUGUGAGCCGUGACCUGAAAUUUAAAGGUAGUCUGUGGAAAUGCAGCUGAGAACUGGAGAAUAGAAAACAGAACUAUGUUUCUUCAUGAUGGCUUUGUUGAGAGCCAAGCAUAUCCUAAGCUUUACUAUUGCUCCUGGAAGUGAAUAAAGAGGCUUUUAUAUUUAYRCAAGACCAUGUCUAAUCCAAACUAAGAUAUCUUGCCCUGGAAACAUCUUUUUGCUUAUUUGUUGUUCCAACACUUUGUUGUUCCAUUGCUAAUUAACAAAUGCUCUUUCUGGCCUGUUCCUCCCCCUGUGCUGGACACUGGCAGAACUGCGGUCCAUGAGUCCUCUCACAGAAAUGUAUUUAAAGCUAUUUCAUUGGAAGAGUUUA
Long non-coding RNA from Malurus melanocephalus (red-backed fairy wren), 814 nucleotides. RefSeq lists it as uncharacterized. The transcript has 3 exons. The record is from RefSeq and is a predicted model, not a curated record. Lineage: Eukaryota; Metazoa; Chordata; Aves; Passeriformes; Maluridae.